GGGUCUGUGGUCUAGGGGUAUGACACUCCCUUAGCAACAUCAACACCGCUUCACAAGAGCGGUCUAGAUCGAGCUAAUUCUGAAAUGGGAGAGGUCCCGGGUUCAAUUCCCGGCGGAUCCA
Phyllosticta capitalensis is the source of this 121-nucleotide non-coding RNA. The record is from the annotation of a GenBank genome assembly. Lineage: Eukaryota; Fungi; Ascomycota; Dothideomycetes; Botryosphaeriales; Phyllostictaceae.